AAUGAACGCUGGCGGCAGGCCUAACACAUGCAAGUCGAGCGGAUGAAGGGAGCUUGCUCCUGGAUUCAGCGGCGGACGGGUGAGUAAUGCCUAGGAAUCUGCCUGGUAGUGGGGGAUAACGUCCGGAAACGGGCGCUAAUACCGCAUAGGUCCUGAUGGAGAAAGGGGGGGAUCUUCGGACCUCACGCUAUCAGAUGAGCCUAGGUCGGAUUAGCUAGUUGGUGGGGUAAAGGCCUACCAAGGCGACGAUCCGUAACUGGUCUGAGAGGAUGAUCAGUCACACUGGAACUGAGACACGGUCCAGACUCCUACGGGAGGCAGCAGUGGGGAAUAUUGGACAAUGGGCGAAAGCCUGAUCCAGCCAUGCCGCGUGUGUGAAGAAGGUCUUCGGAUUGUAAAGCACUUUUAGUUGGGAGGAAGGGCAGUAAGUUAAUACCUUGCUGUUUUGACGUUACCAACAGAAUAAGCACCGGCUAACUUCGUG
Molecule: ribosomal RNA, 484 nt
Filed under: uncultured bacterium
Lineage: Bacteria
Description: partial 16S ribosomal RNA
Rfam family: Bacterial small subunit ribosomal RNA
Source: RNAcentral